GGCGCUCCCAGGGCGGGAGGCUCUGCGCGCGUCCGCUCUUGGGGCCACCCGUUCCAGAGCCACUCGCCAGGGCCAACCCGGGGCUCGAGACCCCGAGCUCGGGUGCGAGCAGGAUGCGGCUCCCCGGGGACGGUUGGCGCGGGUAGGAGUCCCGAAGCCCGACCUUACCUCUGCUUCAUGCUGCAGUGUCCCUCAGCGCUGCCGUCCCAGUGGCCGGUCCGUGCCGCCCUGUCCCACAGGCCCGGCGACCGUGGAGAUUUAGGUUGCCACCGGUCUGCUCCGGGCCCCAGAGCUUCUUCAGUACUUGCUGUCUAUAGUAAGCAUCUCAAACUUUAAUGUGCAUAUGGAUCACCUGGGAAUCUUGUCAAAAUGCAGCUUCCAGGCUUCCAAGCAGAGCCUGCUGAAUCAAAGUUGGAUUUCAGGAAGAUCACGGAGUUCAGUGAGCACCCAACACCUCUAUCAGACAGACUGUGGGCAGUGCCUUCACGGAGAGAAUACAGCAGGACGACUGCGAGUGCAGGGCUGGUGCAGAGUGCGGGCCCGGAUUCAAAUUCCACUAAGUGAUGUGGACCUGGCAAGCUCAUGUCGUCCCUCUGCCCUCAGUCCUCUGCACUGUCAUAAUGAAAUUUUAGCAAUACUUUUCAGGCCCUACUUCUUAAUAUCACAGUAUAGGGCUAAAAAAUCACUAAAUACAGGAAAAUCUUAAGAGAAGACUGGUACUUCAGUAGUGUUCUCUAAGUGUUUACUACAUGCCAGGAGGAAUAAGCUGGACACUUAGUAGUGGCUGAAUAUGGAGAGGGUGCUUGGAUGGCUCCGGGGCAGUGGCGCAUGGUUUCCUGUUUGGCUUUUCUGUGGGCCUGAUGCCUUAUGGCUUAUGGAGAACGUCGGCCCUGCCGGGACAGCAGAGGAGGGGCUGUGGCUGAGAUUUUACACUUGAGAGUGUUGGCAUUCAGCGAUGGUGAUGAGCAGAACCCCAACCCCAGUGAGGAAGGAUCUGAGAUGGGAAAUGUAUUUGGUUCCCUAGAGACAGAGAUUCCUGAACAACUGACACCUCUACAUCACGCCCUGUGCCAGAGACCCAAGAGACCCCCUCACUGUCUUUCUCCAGUCCUCCUAGCCCGAGGUGUGUGGGUGGACAAAGGUGAUGCUCUGGAGGAGAUGCCUGAGACAAGGACCGGUCCUUAAUGAUAAAGAAUUCUCCUUCCUCUUUCAGAUCCUUGACCCCCCCCACUCAAUAUGACAGUUUAUUUUAAAGGCUGUUAUCUCUGUGGCCUUCCUCCCUUCACCCUGCCAGCUGCCUGUCAGUGACUGUCUCCUCCAGUGACUACACUGAGGGACCAGGGUCUCCUUGCCUCCCAAGGCUGCUCAGACCUUCUGACACUGCAAAAUGCUUGUCAAAAGAUGGGUCUGCAAAGAGUAACUUCCCUUUCACUGAUCAAACCUGAAUAUGCAAGCUACUUUGAAUUAACUGGAAAAGUGGCCAUGUGGGCUGAUGCUUUGGUGGUUUAAUGAAUUAAGUCUGCCACCUCCACUGCCUCCUUGACUAUUGAUCAGAGCCGCCUGCAAUAAGGUCUGGCUGAGAAUGGGCAGUGGCUGCGCCAGCUCUGGGUGCGUCUUCUCUGCUCAUUCUUUCCACAGCCAAAUUCAGUUUCUAAUUUACACACUCCACAUCCAUCCCUAGACCUUGCUGUGACAGGGGACAGAGUCCUGUCUCUUCUUAGGGAGACCUUUCCAUAACCACAGGACCCUCUCUGAUGUUCGCCUCAAGCUCUGUUUUCCUCUGUCACCAAAUGUCCCUUCCAUUAACCCAAAGGCCCUGUCUCUUCUCCCAAUCCUUUAAAAGUGAUCUCAGAAAGCUACUGAUUCUCUCCCCAUGAAUCCCAGCGAAAACCCCCAUAAAAUCUCGUUUUUCUUCCUUUCU
This 1921-nucleotide long non-coding RNA is filed under the name Macaca fascicularis (crab-eating macaque). RNAcentral describes it as "lncRNA (ENSMFAG00000046578.2)". Lineage: Eukaryota; Metazoa; Chordata; Mammalia; Primates; Cercopithecidae. The record is from RNAcentral.